RNAcentral lists this ribosomal RNA (443 nucleotides) under uncultured bacterium. Its description in RNAcentral is "bacterial SSU rRNA". It matches the Rfam family "Bacterial small subunit ribosomal RNA", at positions 29 to 517 of the family's 1533-position model. The record is from RNAcentral.
AGCGAACGCUGGCGGCAGGCUUAACACAUGCAAGUCGAGCGGGCGUAGCAAUACGUCAGCGGCAGACGGGUGAGUAACGCGUGGGAACGUACCUUUUGGUUCGGAACAACACAGGGAAACUUGUGCUAAUACCGGAUAAGCCCUUACGGGGAAAGAUUUAUCGCCGAAAGAUCGGCCCGCGUCUGAUUAGCUAGUUGGUGAGGUAAUGGCUCACCAAGGCGACGAUCAGUAGCUGGCUGAGAGGAUGAUCAGCCACAUUGGGACUGAGACACGGCCCAAACUCCUACGGGAGGCAGCAGUGGGGAAUAUUGGACAAUGGGCGCAAGCCUGAUCCAGCCAUGCCGCGUGAGUGAUGAAGGCCCUAGGGUUGUAAAGCUCUUUUGUGCGGGAAGAUAAUGACGGUACGCAAGAAUAAGCCCCGGCUAACUUCGUGCCAGCAGCCG